RNAcentral lists this long non-coding RNA (534 nucleotides) under Homo sapiens (human). RNAcentral describes it as "HSALNT0327752". Lineage: Eukaryota; Metazoa; Chordata; Mammalia; Primates; Hominidae. The record is from RNAcentral.
AGAAUGCUCAGAACUUCCAAUGCUAUGUUGAAUAGGAGUGAUGAGAGAGAGCAUCCUUGUCUUGUGCUGGUUUUCAAGAAGAAUGCAUCUAGAUUUUGCCCAUUCAGUAUGAUACUGGCUGUGGGUUUGUCAUAUAUGACUAAUAUUUUGAGUAUUGCCAAGUCCUGGACCAGUUUGUGUACAGGUCUCUGGCCAACUGUGUCACCUCUUCUGCAUUUCACCUGCACCGUCAAAUGCGGAGGACUGGAGGCACUGAGAGACUGAUGCAAACUCUGGAGAGAAACUGAGGUGAGUUCUAAUUCCUUCUCAAAAUUCCAAUAUUCCGUCCUCCUUUCCAGACUUCAGGCCCACCACUAAACUAGGGACUCAGACUUUACAUUGACUUCUUCACUGGCUCUCGUAAUUACUUUAAUUCGAAUCUCUGUAACGAAUUUCUUAUAUCACUCCUAGUGGUUCUGUGAAAGAUUUCAUUUUUCAGAACUGGCUUUAACAAUAUUUCCCACCCCACUUGUUCUUCCAGAACAUUAUUAUUCC